Molecule: long non-coding RNA, 578 nt
Filed under: Citrus maxima (pomelo)
Lineage: Eukaryota; Viridiplantae; Streptophyta; Magnoliopsida; Sapindales; Rutaceae
Description: long non-coding RNA (CMAX_LNC002486)
Source: RNAcentral
AAAAAUUCACUAACAAAGAAAAUGAAAUGAAUAACACUGAAUAAUUAUCGAUAAUUGUCAACAAACAUAAUUUAACCAAAUACAAGUGACAAGUCCAACAUAAAUAGAAGAGUAUUGUAACAACAUAAAAACCAAAUUUCAGCAACAUGUAGAAGACUAGCAGUUUUGAGACUAAUGAACCAUGAUCAGUUCGUUUCCAGCAACACAACAAAGCCAACAACACUGAUCAGACCGAAAAAAAAAAAAUUUAUUCUAGCAGUUUUAGUGAAGCAUACAACAAAUACCAAUCUAAGAAGAAGCUAAAAAAGUGCAAAGAUGCACCAAUACUCAUGACCUAUUUUUGCAUCAAAGAAAAAAGAUGGCCAACUCCAGCAAUACCCACCAUCUUCAUCAAAUUCCAACAUAGCAAGUGCAACAAGCUAGGUAACUGCACAAGUAAAUAUAACAUCAUCAAAACAUGGUGGGGAAAAUGAUCUUAAAACAUCUCCCUUGCAAUUACCACAAACUUUUUUGAAAGCUUACUGAUGUGAUGCGAUGGAGCUUCUUUUAUGAUAUGCACAGCUUUUUGGUUUGGCUUU